Molecule: long non-coding RNA, 782 nt
Filed under: Marmota monax (woodchuck)
Lineage: Eukaryota; Metazoa; Chordata; Mammalia; Rodentia; Sciuridae
Source: RNAcentral
AUGAAACUCCUUGUUCCAGUCAUUCCCUCGGGCUGGAAACAAUUUCUUUGUUGCCCUGUUCAUAAUUUUAUCAGGUGAAGCAAUAUCCCUCUUUUACCUGAAUCUAGUUUGAGAUUGGAUUUUAUUCUUUUCAGUUCUGAAAGUUCUGAUUAAUAAGUACUAUUCAGCCUUCGACUAUAAUAAAAUUUUAGAUUUUGUUUUUUUUCUUUCCGAAUAUAUGAGUGAAAAAGCCUUAAUUUAAGAAUGAACAAAGAAUACCCUUUACUUUGUGAAUCUAGACUAUGACAGCCUCCUCUGUGCACACUGCUGAUGAGAGCGAUUAUGGAUGAAAUGAAAUUGGGGGGAAAUGAACAUCCAGUCCCUUCAUGUCAUCUUAAAGGGUGUUGAAAGUGUUAACAUUUAAGAUGUACAAUGCCUCACUCCUGCCCUCUGUGUUCCUGAGGGAGCUGGUGACACUGCUACAGCUGUGUGUGCAGAAACUGUAAGAAGGACACUCAUGCCUUUGCCUAAUUACCGUGCAGCUUUGCUGGACUUCUGUCCAAUCCCUGACAAUGCCAACAGUGAUGAGGGACCACUGCAGCCUAACAAGCUUGGAAAAGUUGGAUAUUCGAAAUGUUAAAGCUGAUCUACUUGUGUGGGAAAGAAGAGGUCUUAAGUCACCCAAGCUAUUCAAUUAAAAAUGUCUUUUGGAAUUAGUAAGGAAAUGAUCUUAUCAGUUGAUAGCUCUUUAUGUAAAGCAUAUUUUUCCUUUUUUUUUGAACUGCAGGCUGUGUUGACUAGCC